This 439-nucleotide ribosomal RNA is filed under the name uncultured bacterium. RNAcentral describes it as "partial 16S ribosomal RNA". It matches the Rfam family "Bacterial small subunit ribosomal RNA", at positions 339 to 795 of the family's 1533-position model. The record is from RNAcentral.
CUACGGGGGGCACCAGUGAGGAAUAUUGCACAAUGGGGGGAACCCUGAUGCAGCAACGCCGCGUGGAGGAUGACGCAUUUCGGUGUGUAAACUCCUUUUAUAUGUCAAGAAAAUGACGGUAGCAUAUGAAUAAGCGCCGGCUAACUCCGUGCCAGCAGCCGCGGUAAUACGGAGGGCGCAAGCGUUACUCGGAAUCACUGGGCGUAAAGAGCGUGUAGGCGGAUUAAAAAGUCAGAAGUGAAAUCCUAUAGCUUAACUAUAGAACUGCACUUGAAACUUCUAAUCUAGAGUAUGGGAGGGGGAGAUGGAAUUAGUGGUGUAGGGGUAAAAUCCGUAGAUAUCACUAGGAAUACCUAAAGCGAAGGCGAUCUCCUGGAACAUUACUGACGCUAAGGCGUGAAAGCGUGGGGAGCAAACAGGAUUAGAUACCCGCGUAGUC